This 466-nucleotide ribosomal RNA is filed under the name uncultured bacterium. RNAcentral's name for it is "partial 16S ribosomal RNA". It matches the Rfam family "Bacterial small subunit ribosomal RNA", at positions 28 to 507 of the family's 1533-position model. The record is from RNAcentral.
GAUGAACGCUGGCGGCGUGCUUAACACAUGCAAGUCGAACGGAAAGGCUCCUGCUUGCAGGGGUACUCGAGUGGCGAACGGGUGAGUAACACGUGGGUGAUCUGCCCUGCACUUCGGGAUAAGCCUGGGAAACUGGGUCUAAUACCGGAUAGGACGAUGGUUUGGAUGCCAUUGCGGAAAGUUUUUCGGUGUGGGAUGAGCUCGCGGCCUAUCAGCUUGUUGGUGGGGUAAUGGCCUACCAAGGCGUCGACGGGUAGCCGGCCUGAGAGGGUGUACGGCCACAUUGGGACUGAGAUACGGCCCAGACUCCUACGGGAGGCAGCAGUGGGGAAUAUUGCACAAUGGGCGCAAGCCUGAUGCAGCGACGCCGCGUGGGGGAUGACGGCCUUCGGGUUGUAAACUCCUUUCGCUAGGGACGAAGCGUUUUGUGACGGUACCUGGAGAAGAAGCACCGGCUAACUACGUG